AGCGAACGCUGGCGGCAGGCUUAACACAUGCAAGUCGAGCGGGCACUUCGGUGUCAGCGGCAGACGGGUGAGUAACACGUGGGAACGUACCCUUUGGUUCGGAAUAACGCUGGGAAACUAGCGCUAAUACCGGAUACGCCCUUUUGGGGAAAGGCUUGCUGCCGGAGGAUCGGCCCGCGUCUGAUUAGCUAGUUGGUGGGGUAAUGGCCUACCAAGGCGACGAUCAGUAGCUGGUCUGAGAGGAUGAUCAGCCACACUGGGACUGAGACACGGCCCAGACUCCUACGGGAGGCAGCAGUGGGGAAUAUUGGACAAUGGGCGCAAGCCUGAUCCAGCCAUGCCGCGUGAGUGAUGAAGGCCUUAGGGUUGUAAAGCUCUUUUGUCCGGGACGAUAAUGACGGUACCGGAAGAAUAAGCCCCGGCUAACUUCGUG
This 433-nucleotide ribosomal RNA is filed under the name uncultured bacterium. RNAcentral describes it as "partial 16S ribosomal RNA". It matches the Rfam family "Bacterial small subunit ribosomal RNA", at positions 29 to 507 of the family's 1533-position model. The record is from RNAcentral.